Molecule: long non-coding RNA, 413 nt
Organism: Oncorhynchus tshawytscha (Chinook salmon)
Lineage: Eukaryota; Metazoa; Chordata; Actinopteri; Salmoniformes; Salmonidae
Source: Ensembl
GUGGCUAGUUCCUGUGUGCCCUAUUUAAAAGCCAAGUGAACGGGGCUGCUUUCAAGAGCACAGGGGCUAGGUGAGAGUAGAUACAACACAACAUUACUGGGGCUAGGUGAGAGUAGAUACAGCACAACAUUACUGGGGCUAGGUGAGAGUAGAUACAACACAACAUUACUGGGGCUAGGUGAGGGUAGAUACAGCAUAACAUUACUGGGGCUAGGUGAGAGUAGAUACAACACAACAUUACUGGGGCUAGGUGAGAGUAGAUACAACACAACAUUACUGGGGCUAGGUGAGAGUAGAUACAACACAACAUUACUGGGGCUAGGUGAGAGUAGAUACAACACAACAUUACUGGGGCUAGGUGAGAGUAGGCAUCAAGUGUACUCACUUUUACAGUAGCUCAGUAAUCAUACCGC